UAGGGAAUAUUAGAAAUGGACGAAAGUCUGAUCUAGCAACACCGCGUGUGCGAAGAAGGCCUUCGGGUUGUAAAGCACUUUUUGGAAGGAUUAGGAAGGAAUGUACUUCCAGAAUAAGUCUCGGCUAACUACGUGCCAGCAGCCGCGGUAACACGUAGGAGGCAAACGUUAUCCGGAUUUACUGGGCGUAAAGCGCGUGUAGGUGGUUUGGUAAGUAGAGCGUGAAAGCUCCUGGCUCAACUGGGAGAGGUCGUUCUAAACUGCCGGACUAGAGGAUGGUAGAGGGAGGUGGAAUUCCAGGUGUAGCGGUGGAAUGCGCAGAUAUCUGGAGGAACACCAGUGGCGAAGGCGGCCUCCUGGACCAUUCCUGACACUCAGACGCGAAAGCGAGGGUAGCAAACG
Molecule: ribosomal RNA, 402 nt
Filed under: uncultured prokaryote
Description: bacterial SSU rRNA
Rfam family: Bacterial small subunit ribosomal RNA
Source: RNAcentral